Molecule: long non-coding RNA, 1021 nt
Organism: Melanotaenia boesemani (Boeseman's rainbowfish)
Lineage: Eukaryota; Metazoa; Chordata; Actinopteri; Atheriniformes; Melanotaeniidae
Exons: 3
Source: RefSeq, a predicted model, not a curated record
GAGGAGAAGAGUCUAGCUACUGAUGUGGCGCCACCUUGUGGUGGGAGCACUAGGCGUCUUUCACUGGCAGAGCGUAACUGUGGAGAGGGAACCUCGGAGGACGAGAACAUUGGGAACUUUUACAGUUCCACAGUUUGAAAGCAGCUCAGGCCAUGGCUCUCCGGAAAGGAAGAGAAGAAAGAUUGGCUUUCUUGGUGUGUCCCAACGGGAUCCAUGUGAAGCUGCAUCAUCUGAGGUUACAGUUAAACCUCGGAGGAAGAGAACGUUGGAUGAUUUGACAGAUGCUCCACGUGGAAGCAGCUCAGGCAGCUGUUGGAAGAGAAAGAAGAAAAAAUCGGGCUAGGACAGGAAGCAGCUGCGCCCAGUGUGGAGGGCUGAAAGGACCAGAACUUCAUGAAGAGGAUGUAGAAGAUGGUAUCAGUAUUGCAGGUUUACAACCUGCACAGGUGGUAACACACACUCACACACACAAAAAAAUGCCCAGUGUAGUUUAGAGAAUAUAUAGAUGCCUACAUUCAGAAACACACAUUCAUUGGGAUGAAUCUUGUUUUAAAUUGAUUAAUGCUUUUGAUAACUUGCUGUUUGUGUCUAUUUGUUUAGAUUCUCCCAAAGAGGCUCAAAACGUGGCUUCAACUAACACAAAGGAAGACAGGCCUCAGAGGAAAAGGACCAGAGAAACAAAAAAAUGCCCAGUGUAGUUUAGAGAAUAUAUAGAUAUUCUCGUUUUGCAGCCCACUAGACACUCUAAUGUCUCUGGAAGGGAGCUCCCUCUUGUGUGAUCCUUCCCGAGGUUUCUUCCAGGCCCUUCUGUUAAAAGGACAGUUUGGGAGUUUUUCCUUGCCCGCUUGAGGGAAGUGUCUUAAUCAUGUGGACUGCGGUCAUUAUGGCUAGAUGUUUUAAAACCUGGGCAUUUUCAUUAGAAAUUUAAAAACAGGGCCACACCUCGUCAACAUCAGGUCCUAAUUAAAUUCUAAAAUAGAAAUAGAAAAAGAAGCUCAAAAAGUUUACACAUUUAUUUAUA